GAGGGUAUAGCUCAGUGGUAAAGUGCUUGCUUAGCAUGCGUGAGGUCCUGGGUUCAAUCCCCAGUACCUCCA
RNAcentral lists this transfer RNA (72 nucleotides) under Camelus bactrianus (Bactrian camel). It matches the Rfam family "tRNA". From Rfam's summary of the family: Transfer RNA (tRNA) molecules are approximately 80 nucleotides in length. Their secondary structure includes four short double-helical elements and three loops (D, anti-codon, and T loops). Further hydrogen bonds mediate the characteristic L-shaped molecular structure. tRNAs have two regions of fundamental functional importance: the anti-codon, which is responsible for specific mRNA codon recognition, and the 3' end, to which the tRNAs corresponding amino acid is attached (by aminoacyl-tRNA synthetases). tRNAs cope with the degeneracy of the genetic code in two manners: having more than one tRNA (with a specific anti-codon) for a particular amino acid; and 'wobble' base-pairing, i.e. permitting non-standard base-pairing at the 3rd anti-codon position. RNAcentral also lists the same sequence under 1 other name. Lineage: Eukaryota; Metazoa; Chordata; Mammalia; Artiodactyla; Camelidae. The record is from Rfam by way of RNAcentral.